UUUCACUUCCUCUUAUCUCUAACUUUGUCUCAUUUUCAUCACCGUCAUGUCGUUCUCGCGUGUCGUGUAGGCUUGGCAGUGGUCAGAUCAUCUGUGAAGGGGCAUUUUAUUCACGACUGUUGGCUCACGUUCGGCUGGAUCUUCAGGCCCUCGGGUUCACAGUGGACACUGUAACGCUGACCGAUGUGAAGCACGCAGUCUGAAGACGUCUCAAUGAACAGCAGAACCUGGCCUGCUUCUGGGAUUUUAAAGGACUUUUUAACAAAAUUCCAGAUAAGGCCAAAGGCAGAGAGGUGGGAGACGUUCACAAUCACAUGCGUGUCGGUGAUCCUCAUCGGUUUCAAGAUGCUUAUCCCAUCAUCAAAGACGUGCGCGACAGACAGCAGGCCAUCAACACACAACGCUGUGAAGGCAAAGAGCUGCUGCACUAUUUCCUGCUCGGGGAUUCAUCCUGCACCAUUUACUUUUCAACACUUCAGUGUGGCAGGUGGAGCUGACGGACUGCGUCCUCAGAGCACGUGAUGUUAAACAGCGGCCCUGCAGCUGUUUUUCCAGCUUGUUGAAGGAGGCUCUCAUCCCAUUGGACAUUCCAGUACAGCAGCUCCGCCUUCUGAGCCAUAACAAACACCAGUCUGGUCAGAGUACACUGGAACACACCUGGACCAGGACACCUGAACCUGUAGAAGAUGAAACGGUUAAACUAGAAUCUAAAAGAAAGAAACCAACGAGAACAUCUGAAGCUUCUGUUUGAGUCCAAACUGUCACAUCCACCAAAGUGAGGGGAUGCUACAUCUGUAACUCUGCUGCUUUGGCUCUAAAGCCAAAGCAGGUUAUUAAUUCUACUUGUGGUUUGGGAUAUCUCAGGGUUUGAGUCACAUGUCACAUAAUUAGAACACGGUUGUGGUUAGUCAUCCCGGAGGCUUCAGCCUCUUUCUGGACUGAUAGUAACCUGCCAUCGCUGUAUUUGAGUUUUAUAUUAUCAGAACACCUCAAAUCACACAGAACCCAGAUGAACCCUGUCAUCUCUAACACAGCCAGGCAUCUGUGGAGGCAGCUGUUACUGGAGCUGGAGGGCCAAGUGAAGGUCCUGCCUGAAGUCUGACAUCAUCUCUGUCUGUCACUGAGAAACUGACGCUCCAGAUGAUCUUUCAGUGGAAAUGAUGUCUGAGUGAGAUGGACAAAGGAAAACACAGAGGGAGAGAAAAGCAAAGUACACAACGUCUCAUAUAUUAGACAUCGAUGGAGAGGAGGAGGUAAUUUACUAUGUCACACCUCCAGGUGUCUAAUACAAAUCAGGUCACAUCAGAGCAUGUGUGACAUCAUUCUAAUGUGGAGGUGAAAGCAGUGACAGCUGUGGUUUUAUUAUCACCUGUGGGAGAUUUGUGUGGAUUCAGGUUGUACUUCAGGUGUGAAGCUUGAUGGAGGCUGGAAAUCAGAACAACACCAGCUGUUUAAAGCAGCAACAAACCAGUAAGUGAAGAAACUACACAACGUACACAUCAGCAGUUAUAUGUACGUACUUUCAAAACUGGCAGUAAAAUAGUGGGACUAAAAACAAUGAAAACAUGGAGCCAUGCAGGAUAAAGCUUAAAGCAUCCUGAUAACGUACAAUUAAUCAGUGUUGCAGUGCAGGUAAAUUCAACACGUGGAGUUAGUUUCUGUCCUGAAGCCUCCUUCUUUGUUCCAUCAGACAAAGUUUAGACUACUACCAUGAAAAAGUGCCGAGAUUAACAGUCAUUACAUGUGUAAAUGAUAAGGAUCCGCUUGCUUUUGUCUCACCUCAAUUGGCUCUAUGUCAUCCUCAGAUAAAUCAGCUAAAGGGUUUAUAUCCAAUGUUUGUUCAGAGUCACCUGAUGAGAGACAGACAGCAGAACAGUUCAGGAUUCCCUGGAACACUUUUCGUCAGAGCUGACUGCAGACGUCCAAAGUGUACACUCAGAAAUAUUUUGCUAGAAAUCAAAGCUGAUUUGUGUCUGAAUAAUUUAAUCCAGAUCUGAAAACAUGCUACCAUUUUCAGCUGCACCACAGAUAAACUUUUAUAGAGCAAUGUUUCCCAACCUUUGGGAGCCACAGCACAUAUUUCACAUUAGAAAGAAAUCACAAACAAAAAUGUCACAAAAAGCAUAUUGAUAGUUUUUCCCUGCACACCAGUUAUAGUGGAAUUUGCUUGGUUUGUCCCCAGUACACCUUCUUUGCUUCUGACCACUAAUCGUGCUAGGGCUUUCAUGUGGUCAGACUGCCUACUUUUUCUUUUCAGAUAUUUAUCUAUUAAUAUUACACGCUGCA
This is a long non-coding RNA of Haplochromis burtoni (Burton's mouthbrooder), 2286 nucleotides long. RefSeq lists it as uncharacterized. Lineage: Eukaryota; Metazoa; Chordata; Actinopteri; Cichliformes; Cichlidae. The record is from RefSeq and is a predicted model, not a curated record. The transcript has 5 exons.